RNAcentral lists this small RNA (630 nucleotides) under Pan troglodytes (chimpanzee). Its description in RNAcentral is "retained intron". Lineage: Eukaryota; Metazoa; Chordata; Mammalia; Primates; Hominidae. The record is from RNAcentral.
AGUCAGUUAAUUGCUGAAAGAAAAGAGGGCACUGAAUCAUCUGUAUCUAUUUGAAUUUUAAGCCACUCGCUCAACCUGCACUUACACUCUCAACAAUUCAAUUUGGAGUGAGGCUGACAUAAAGCUGUAAGAAGGCACUACAGCAUCUUCAGUUCUCUCAUGCUGGUUGUGGGGCUUGUCUCUAAAGAGGACUGCAGACAAAUAAAGCACUUGAGAUAUACUAAUUUGCCUCCACUUUUGAAACCUUCCUCAAGAUACUACCUGGUGCAUGAGACUAGUGGGCUCUCAAAAACCUUGUCUUUUCUUUUUUUUUUUUCAGGUUUAGGAGGAAGGCUUCUGAAGAAAUAGAAGAUUUUCGCCUCAGACCACAGAGCCUGAAUGGAUCAGAUUAUGGAGGAGGUAAGAGGCCCUUGGAGGAAGUCAAAAGGUCUUCUAGAGAGGCCCCAGAACAUUUCCUGGGCUAAGGCACUGUUGGCUGCAGCAUCACUGAAGACAUUUGCAGUGGUCUCCUGACGCAUGCUGAUGCACAUCUUCAUGCCUUGCUGAAUGCUGCCACCUCUACCUGGAGUAUCUCUCCCUUCUUUAUCUGAUAACCCUACUUAUCCUUCAGAAGGUCAGCCAAAGCAUCAC